This 253-nucleotide ribosomal RNA is filed under the name uncultured bacterium. RNAcentral describes it as "partial 16S ribosomal RNA". It matches the Rfam family "Bacterial small subunit ribosomal RNA", at positions 524 to 776 of the family's 1533-position model. The record is from RNAcentral.
UACGUAGGGUGCGAGCGUUAAUCGGAAUUACUGGGCGUAAAGCGUGCGCAGGCGGUUCUCCAAGUCCGUUGUGAAAGCCCCGGGCUCAACCUGGGAAUGGCAGUGGAAACUAGGGGACUUGAAUCUGGCAGAGGGGGGUGGAAUUCCACGUGUAGCAGUGAAAUACGUAGAGAUUGGGAAGAACACCAGUGGCGAAGGCGGCUAUCUGGACGGUUUCUGACACUAAGACUCGAAAGCGUGGGGAGCAAACAGG